ACAAAAGCUGCGAUGAGAAAGAGUACCAAGGCGAUGUCUUUUUACAGAGAGCCCCGGUUGCUGAAAAGGGGUAAAGAAUAACUUUGGGAAUAUGGUCUCUGAGCUGCGCAUCGAAACCUCAUAUGGUUGUAGGCUGCGCCGGAACCCGCACCCGUUACUGUGCUAGGGUAUACAUGCAUAAGCAUCGUACCUGAAGAGGUUAAUGUCGCAAGGCAUUAAUAAAAUUGGGUGGUACCGCGUGAGCACAGCUCUCGUCCCUUUG
This 262-nucleotide non-coding RNA is filed under the name Paenibacillus sp. RNAcentral describes it as "T-box sequence". It matches the Rfam family "T-box leader". From Rfam's summary of the family: Uncharged tRNA acts as the effector for transcription antitermination of genes in the T-box leader family. T-boxes are found upstream of many aminoacyl-tRNA synthetase genes and some amino acid biosynthetic genes usually in Gram-positive bacteria. The anticodon of a specific tRNA base pairs to a specifier sequence within the T-box motif, and the NCCA acceptor tail of the tRNA base pairs to a conserved bulge in the T-box antiterminator hairpin. The record is from RNAcentral. Lineage: Bacteria; Bacillati; Bacillota; Bacilli; Caryophanales; Paenibacillaceae.